GACGAACGCUGGCGGCGUGCUUAACACAUGCAAGUCGAACGGAAAGGCCCUGCUUUUGUGGGGUGCUCGAGUGGCGAACGGGUGAGUAACACGUGAGUAACCUGCCCUUGACUUUGGGAUAACUUCAGGAAAUUGGGGCUAAUACCGGAUAGGAGCUCCUGCUGCAUGGUGGGGGUUGGAAAGUUUCGGCGGUUGGGGAUGGACUCGCGGCUUAUCAGCUUGUUGGUGGGGUAGUGGCUUACCAAGGCUUUGACGGGUAGCCGGCCUGAGAGGGUGACCGGCCACAUUGCGACUGAGAUACGGCCCAGACUCCUACGGGAGGCAGCAGUGGGGAAUAUUGCACAAUGGGCGGAAGCCUGAUGCAGCAACGCCGCGUGCGGGAUGACGGCCUUCGGGUUGUAAACCGCUUUCGCCUGUGACGAAGCGUGAGUGACGGUAAUGGGUAAAGAAGCACCGGCUAACUACGUG
This 468-nucleotide ribosomal RNA is filed under the name uncultured bacterium. RNAcentral's name for it is "partial 16S ribosomal RNA". It matches the Rfam family "Bacterial small subunit ribosomal RNA", at positions 28 to 507 of the family's 1533-position model. The record is from RNAcentral.